Ruditapes philippinarum (Manila clam) is the source of this 341-nucleotide long non-coding RNA. RefSeq lists it as uncharacterized. The record is from RefSeq and is a predicted model, not a curated record. The transcript has 3 exons. NCBI's taxonomy places the organism in Eukaryota, Metazoa, Mollusca, Bivalvia, Venerida, Veneridae.
AUUUUCACCAUUUAAACUAUAGAUUUCAUACAAAAUAAUCAUGCGAGGUCUUAUAUUUGGUGUUCUAUUUGCCUUAGUUGUGUAUGUAAGUGGGGAGUAUUGUGUGACAACGUAUCAGUGUGUAAGUCAUGGCUGGAAAUGCGGAGCCGACAAACAUCUUCAUUGCUCAAGUAAUCGUUGCCAAUGUAUAGCUCCAUAUUGCACUGAAACUAAAGACUGCACAUGUUCUUCCGCGAACACGAUCCCAGAAUGUGUUGAUCAUCGCUGUAAAUGUACCACAAUAUGAUAGUCUAAUCUCUACAAUGAAAAUAAAAUGUUAUGUAACAGUAAUAAAAUGGUUC